ACAAUCGCCAUUAAGGCAGUAAUUAUUCUAAUUUUUACUAAUUUAGUUUUUCAAGCGUUAGCUUUUUAAUCUUAACCCCUAAACUAACAAAGCGCUGUUCGUAUUCGGUCAUAAUAUUGGUACUAGUCAAAGGUGAAUUGUGCAGAUCUGUCGUUUGCUCAAUUAUCUUAAAGUGAGCUACUGUUUUCUGCAAGACUUCUAAGGUAAAUUCAAACAACUGAUCGUUGUCCGUUUUGAAUUCUAUUAAACCUUGCUUUUUUAAAAGUUGGUGAAACUGCUUGAGGAAAUGUGGAGCAGUUAGUCGCCUCAACGUGUGACGCUUUUUUGGUCAAGGAUCGGGGAAGUUAAUGAAGAUUUUGCUAAUCGAUUGUGGUUUUAAGUACUCUGUUAGCUGGUUGGCAUCCAAACACGUUAUUAAUAAAUUACGUGGUUUAACCUCUAAGCGGUUUACCUUAUUAAUUGCCUUUAAAACAAUCGUGGGUUCACGCUCGAUUCCCACAAAAAAACACUUUGGGUUUUGCUGUGCUUGCUGGCUUAAAAACCAACUUUUACCACAACCUAUUUCCACGAAGAGCGAUUCACUUUCAAUAGUUGACAGUUGUUCUGGGUUACUAAAGUAAGGGCUGUCUUGUACCCUUACAAGAGCAUCUUUAACUUUUCUUAAGCGCACUGUUUAUCUAAAUUAAAGUAAUGAUUUUGUUUAGCAUACUCAUACAGUACACAAGCUACUGUAUUGGACAAGUUAAUGCUUCUUACAGGGUUUCAAAUCGGAAUCCGUACCUGGUUCUGCGAGUAUUGUUCCAUGAGUGUUUGCGGUAAUCCCUUGGUUUCUUGACCAAAAACAAAGUACAGUUGUUCCCUGUUAUCUGUUUGCAUGUUAAUUUGGUCUGGGGUAGUAGUACCACUCUUUGUCAACAACCAAAUUGCUUUAUUUGGUGGUGUUGUUUCAAUGAAGUGUUCCCAGGAUUUGUGUUCAAACAUUUGCACCUUAUCCCAACAAUUUAACCCAGCACGCACCAUCCGCUUAUCAUUGAGAAAAAAGCCAUAGGGCUUAAUCAGAUGCAAGUUAGCUUUAAAAGCGGUACAGCUCCGAACAAUGUUCCCAGUGUUAUUAGGAAUUUCUGGGCAAAAUAAGACGAUAUUAAUCGCUGAUUUAUACAUCAGAUAGAAGUUAGUUAAAUAUUAAUAAAAUUACUAUGCUUAAUGAACUUAAAAAAGACAC
Molecule: small RNA, 1222 nt
Filed under: Mycoplasmoides pneumoniae M129
Lineage: Bacteria; Bacillati; Mycoplasmatota; Mycoplasmoidales; Mycoplasmoidaceae
Description: Mycoplasma pneumoniae M129 ncRNA
Source: RNAcentral